This 216-nucleotide long non-coding RNA is filed under the name Homo sapiens (human). RNAcentral's name for it is "non-protein coding lnc-TLN2-5:1". The record is from RNAcentral. Lineage: Eukaryota; Metazoa; Chordata; Mammalia; Primates; Hominidae.
CCUCUACCCUCACCCCACAACCACAGAACCAUGGCACUGGAAGGGACCUCAGGAAUCAAAAGUCACAGGUGGCGGGCCAGAGAGAAGACAUGAGUUCCCCAAGGCUAUCCCAUGAGUCAGAGGCACAGCUGGCCCUAAAGCGUAGCCUGUGCACGCAUUCAAACCUGUGUGACCACGUCACCAUGCUCACAUGCAGCCCUUCCACCUCCCAGCACA